UACGGGAGGCAGCAGUGGGGAAUAUUGCACAAUGGGCGCAAGCCUGAUGCAGCCAUGCCGCGUGUAUGAAGAAGGCCUUCGGGUUGUAAAGUACUUUCAGCGGGGAGGAAGGUGUUGAGGUUAAUAACCUCAGCAAUUGACGUUACCCGCAGAAGAAGCACCGGCUAACUCCGUGCCAGCAGCCGCGGUAAUA
Molecule: ribosomal RNA, 193 nt
Filed under: uncultured Enterobacter sp.
Lineage: Bacteria; Pseudomonadati; Pseudomonadota; Gammaproteobacteria; Enterobacterales; Enterobacteriaceae
Description: partial 16S ribosomal RNA
Rfam family: Bacterial small subunit ribosomal RNA
Source: RNAcentral